Molecule: long non-coding RNA, 204 nt
Organism: Cebus imitator (Panamanian white-faced capuchin)
Lineage: Eukaryota; Metazoa; Chordata; Mammalia; Primates; Cebidae
Exons: 3
Source: RefSeq, a predicted model, not a curated record
GGCGGAGACCCGCCCCGGCCCACAGGACACCCCCUCGGAACGCGCGGCCCCCCAGCUAAGUCGGGUUUAACAGCCGCAGAAAUUAUCUUGUCUCCGCGUUCUUUCUUCUGCCGGCGAGCCAGUGUCAUUUGUGGAUUAUUAAAGAAACCUCUUCAUGCCUGAUACGUUAAGGACCUUCAAUAUAACAUCAAAUAGAAAGGGUGA